This is a long non-coding RNA of Pieris napi, 900 nucleotides long. RefSeq lists it as uncharacterized. The record is from RefSeq and is a predicted model, not a curated record. NCBI's taxonomy places the organism in Eukaryota, Metazoa, Arthropoda, Insecta, Lepidoptera, Pieridae. The transcript is spliced from 2 exons.
UGUAGUAGUCCCGUAGACUGUUUUAGUGUCUACCAUAGAGUAUAUAGGAUAUUUUUAACACAGUUGCUUGAAAUUCAAAUUAGUUUGUAUUUCGUGCCUUGAUCUGUGCAGUGCACACAAGUGACAUUAGUGGCAACUGACAAGUCUACAAUAUUCAUAUUUCAUUUUGUGAUUUGUUAUUAACGUUGUUAGGCUGUAGGCAGUUGUUUUUAAAAUUGAUUACGCUACAGAAAUAAAAUGGCGUGUACCGAACCAUUGAAAACUAUAUCAAGUGAGCUGCUUGUGUUUGAAGAGAAACCUAAAAUAAUAGAGGGUAGAAAAAUUCAUGAUUGGUUCAAAGUUGGAGAAAAUGUGUUUGAAUAUUUUUUUAAAUUGGGCACACAGAUUUCUUGGGAUUUCUCAAAAGUAAAAAACGAACCUGAAUGUACCAAGAUAAUUGAACUUGUUACAAAGAAUAUAAAAUGGAUUGAAAGUUUCAUAACUCUUUACCCCAACUUCAGGAUAGAUUGUGAUAUGGUUGGAUCUGCUGGAGAUGUCUGCAAGACCCGUUCAGGGCUGGAAGUUUUGCUUAAUGGUUUUAAGGGUUUGGAUCCUCAGUUUGAUACAAUAUUAGAAAAUUUGGCAGAAGCUGCAGAUAUAGAGGACUUUGAUCGUGUAUUAAAAGUGUGGAUUGAUUCAGGUCAUCGCCCUGAUAUUUCACCUAAAGAUAUAUUUUCAAAUACCCCUCAGUCACACUGGUGGUGGUUUUAACUUUUUACAGAAAUAAUAAAGAAGGCAAUAUGUAUUGUGUGUAGUAUAAAUACACAUAGCCUUUUUAUAGAAGACUAUAUAAAUUUUAAAUAACUAUUUUUAUUGGUACAUAUAAAAUUACUAUUUAAUAAUAAAUUAUAUUAAUUUCAA